RNAcentral lists this ribosomal RNA (467 nucleotides) under uncultured bacterium. RNAcentral describes it as "partial 16S ribosomal RNA". It matches the Rfam family "Bacterial small subunit ribosomal RNA", at positions 28 to 507 of the family's 1533-position model. The record is from RNAcentral.
GACGAACGCUGGCGGCGUGCUUAACACAUGCAAGUCGAACGGAAAGGCUCCAGCUUGCUGGAGUACUCGAGUGGCGAACGGGUGAGUAACACGUGGGUAAUCUGCCCUGCACUCUGGGAUAAGCCUGGGAAACUGGGUCUAAUACUGGAUAUGACCUUUCUCCUUAUGGGGUUUGGUGGAAAGUUUUUCGGUGUAGGAUGAGCCCGCGGCCUAUCAGCUUGUUGGUGGGGUGAUGGCCUACCAAGGCGACGACGGGUAGCCGGCCUGAGAGGGUGUUCGGCCACAUUGGGACUGAGAUACGGCCCAGACUCCUACGGGAGGCAGCAGUGGGGAAUAUUGCACAAUGGGCGGAAGCCUGAUGCAGCGACGCCGCGUGAGGGAUGACGGCCUUCGGGUUGUAAACCUCUUUCAGCAGGGACGAAGCGUAAGUGACGGUACCUGCAGAAGAAGCACCGGCCAACUAUGUG